RNAcentral lists this ribosomal RNA (468 nucleotides) under uncultured bacterium. RNAcentral's name for it is "partial 16S ribosomal RNA". It matches the Rfam family "Bacterial small subunit ribosomal RNA", at positions 28 to 507 of the family's 1533-position model. The record is from RNAcentral.
GGCGAACGCUGGCGGCGUGCUUAACACAUGCAAGUCGAACGGAAAGGCCCUGCUUUUGUGGGGUGCUCGAGUGGCGAACGGGUGAGUAACACGUGAGUAACCUGCCCUUGACUUUGGGAUAACUUCAGGAAAAUGGGGCUAAUACCGGGUAGGAGCUCCUGCUGCAUGGGGGGGGUUGGAAAGUUUCGGCGGUUGGGGAUGGACUCGCGGCUUAUCAGCUUGUUGGUGGGGUAGUGGCUUACCAAGGCUUUGAAGGGUAGCCGGCCUGAGAGGGUGACCGGCCACAUUGGGACUGCGAUACGGCCCAGACUCCUACGGGACGCAGCAGUGGGGAAUAUUGCACAAUGGGCGGAAGCCUGAUGCAGCAACGCCGCGUGCGUGAUGACGGCCUUCGGGUUGUAAACCGCUUUCGCCUGUGACGAAGCGUGAGUGACGGUAAUGGGUAAAGAAGCACCGGCUAACUACGUG